UACAGAGGUCUCAAGCGUUGUUCGGAUUUAUUGGGCGUAAAGGGUGCGUAGGCGGCGCGGUAAGUCGGGUGUGAAAUCUCGGAGCUUAACUCCGAAACUGCAUUUGAUACUGCCGUGCUUGAGGACUGGAGAGGAGACUGGAAUUUACGGUGUAGCGGUGAAAUGCGUAGAUAUCGUAAGGAAGACCAGUGGCGAAGGCGGGUCUCUGGACAGUUCCUGACGCUGAGGCACGAAGGCCAGGGGAGCAAACGGG
This 253-nucleotide ribosomal RNA is filed under the name uncultured bacterium. Its description in RNAcentral is "partial 16S ribosomal RNA". It matches the Rfam family "Bacterial small subunit ribosomal RNA", at positions 524 to 776 of the family's 1533-position model. The record is from RNAcentral.